GUGGGUAGUUUGACUGGGGCGGUCUCCUCCUAAAGAGUAACGGAGGAGCACGAAGGUUGGCUAAUCCUGGUCGGACAUCAGGAGGUUAGUGCAAUGGCAUAAGCCAGCUUGACUGCGAGCGUGACGGCGCGAGCAGGUGCGAAAGCAGGUCAUAGUGAUCCGGUGGUUCUGAAUGGAAGGGCCAUCGCUCAACGGAUAAAAGGUACUCCGGGGAUAACAGGCUGAUACCGCCCAAGAGUUCAUAUCGACGGCGGUGUUUGGCACCUCGAUGUCGGCUCAUCACAUCCUGGGGCUGAAGUAGGUCCCAAGGGUAUGGCUGUUCGCCAUUUAAAGUGGUACGCGAGCUGGGUUUAGAACGUCGUGAGACAGUUCGGUCCCUAUCUGCCGUGGGCGCUGGAGAACUGA
This 405-nucleotide ribosomal RNA is filed under the name Salmonella enterica subsp. enterica serovar Heidelberg. Its description in RNAcentral is "partial 23S ribosomal RNA". It matches the Rfam family "Bacterial large subunit ribosomal RNA", at positions 2261 to 2665 of the family's 2925-position model. Lineage: Bacteria; Pseudomonadati; Pseudomonadota; Gammaproteobacteria; Enterobacterales; Enterobacteriaceae. The record is from RNAcentral.